Molecule: long non-coding RNA, 1457 nt
Filed under: Homo sapiens (human)
Lineage: Eukaryota; Metazoa; Chordata; Mammalia; Primates; Hominidae
Description: HSALNT0405428
Source: RNAcentral
CAAGAUGGAGCAGGGUAUAGAGAAGCCAUUAGGGAUGAUACAGAACACCACCAAAGGGUUAGUAACGGUGGGGAACUGUUUGCACCCCGAAGCCUGAAAGAGUGAAGUAGGGUGGGAUUACCUGGAAAGAGAGAGAGAGACAGAAGGAGAAUGAGAUUGAGGGAAGGGCUGCCUGGCAGGGGAAGCUGACGCCUUCAGGCAAGUGAAGAAGCCAGCCCGCAGCAACUCUGCAGGGAAGAAUAUAGGGAAAUAAACGCCUUCAUCUCUCUCUUGUCCCACCCGCAGAGCUCCUUCUGGGAUUCUCUAUUGGCUGAACUCAGCCAGAAGCUGCCAAGGGAGACCCCCACAACUGGAUGCAGCCCACUGAAGUCAGCUUCCUGGGGUGCGUAGCUGAAGGUAGCAGGGAGCAAAAAGAAUCUGAAGGGGAAGUGAACAAUGUAGAGCGUAUCUGUGCUGAAGACGUAAGGAGAGAGUGGAGGUCAGAAGCUGGCAUGGUCCCUGGUGCAUGUAUCAGCCGCUAAAGAAGUGGAGAGUAUGAACAUAAGCAAGAGGAAGUGAUGAGUAUCCCUUCCAGGAGAACUCUAAGAGGCAGUGAGUGAUUUGCUGGGCUCCCAAGCCCUCUGCUCUGAUGACAGCAAAGCCCCAAAUCAUGGUGCCUCCAUCAGUCGGGACCCCUCAGCAGAGCCAGCUUCACAGCUGGAGUGGAUGAAUCAGAACUUUCCCCAUGGGAGCAUUUAUAAAAAGGGGACACCCAGCGCAGAAGAUGUUUUCCAGGGAGAUCUCGGGGAGCCCAACAAGCCAAGAAGAGCAGAGCAAAGCAUUCCAAGGAAGGACUCUAAGUCUGCAACCGAGCACACACGAGGGUAGCCUACGCAUGUACGUCUUGCAGUGAUGGCAAGGAGCAGGAGAAAGAAAGCCCAUCCAAACAAGCAUAUUGGAAGCCUAUGUAUCCCAUAAGCUGACAUCUUGUUGCCCAAAGCAUGUCAUGUGCGUGGUCCAGAGUCAGUGUUGAAGGGCUCUGCAAAAUCACAUGGUAAAGACUGUGGUUUCAGGGAGGAGUGAAGAUUUGUGCGCAUUGCUCCAAUUGACAACCAUGGCACUAGGCUCAGGCCACACUUCUUCCUAACAAGAGAGCAAGUCAAAGCGUGGUUAGUUAAAGUCCAUACAAAAACUCACUUUAACAGGCCUCCUCUGGAUUGAACAGCUGAUAUUAAGUCAUAAGGUACCACAUCAGAAAGAUACUGGGUAUCUUUGGUUCAGCAAUUCCAUCACCAGGGACUUUUUCAUCCUAAGGAAAUCACUGCACGGUGGACAAAGAUAUAUGCAUAAGGAUGCUCCUUCUGGCCAAAGACCAAAAACAUAACUGGCCAUCAGUAAAAGCCAACACAAGGAAAGACCAUGUGAAUACACAGCAAGAACGUGGUGCUCUGCAAGUCAGAAACAGACCCGUCAUCAGA